Molecule: microRNA precursor, 63 nt
Filed under: Lotus japonicus
Lineage: Eukaryota; Viridiplantae; Streptophyta; Magnoliopsida; Fabales; Fabaceae
Description: miR11176 stem-loop (lja-MIR11176)
Source: miRBase by way of RNAcentral
GGUCGGCCCAGAUAGGUCUCAAAGCUUUCAUUGGAAGCUUUGAGAUCUGCUGCGGCUAGGACC